UGUCAAAUAUUUGUACAUCCUACGUACCGCACCAUUACUUAACACAUAUCAACAAACAACUAUAAACUAAGAUACAAGAGGCUAAAACUCAGCUUAAGCAUUAACUAACUGGCAUUUUUACUAUUGAAUUAUACACUGAUCAAUUCAUGCGAAAGGAGCAAUAGACCACGAGCAUUACAGACAGACAUUUAAACUUCUUGGAAUUCCUUUCAUUUCAUGCUUUCGAACGGUUACAGUUUACACCCACAUAGGAUUUGAAAUAUGUACCUGGAAUGCUGAAAUGCAAAGAGGAAGAAGAGAAUGACAGGGAAAGGUCAGCAGCAGCAGGAAACCAAAUAACAGCAGCAGCAGCAGGUAACCAAAUAGAAACAAAAUCCCAGUGCAAGAUGCAGUUAUAGCCAAUGGGCAGAGGCAACAAAAAUGACAGCAACAAGCAGAGAAGUGGGCUCAGGAUUCAAACGGUCCAACCCCAAAAGAAGGCAAACCAAUAAGAACCAAAACAAAAGAAACCUAGCUGAUACUUGAGGGGAAACCAGCACUUAUUUGAAAUAGGUUAAACUAACUGGGAAUCGAACAAUUAGCAGGAAGAAAAGACAGUUUCUGCUUUCUGUAUAUCCCCCCUCUAUCUCCUUUCUUUCCAAAAUCUAAAACCAAUCUUCAGUUUUGAAAUUAUACUGAAGUUAUUAAAAGAAAUCUUUUCCAGUUCCUGUUUUCAGAAUUUGAACUCUCAGAUGUUCCCUCUCAGUGUCUCUCUCUAUCUCUGUAUGCUCUGUCUGUAUGUAUAUAUAUCUGUAUGUAUUUCAACUCUCUCUUUCAAAAAUUCCUCACAGUGUGUGUAUUUUUUCCUCUCNNNNNNNNNNNNNNNNNNNNNNNNNNNNNNNNNNNNNNNNNNNUCUGAUAAGUCACUGUGUCAAAUAUUUGUACAUCCUACGUACCACACCAUUACUUAACCCAUAUCAACAAACAACUAUAAACUAAGAUACAAGAGGCUAAAACUCAGCUUAAACAUUAACUAACUGGCAUUUUUACUAUUGAAUUAUACACUGAUCAAUUCAUACGAAAGGAGCAAUAGACCACGAGCAUUACAGACAGACAUUUAAACUUCUUGGAAUUCCUUUCAUUUCAUGCUUUCGAACGGUUACAGUUUACACCCACAUAGGAUUUGAAAUGUGUACCUGGAAUGCUGAAAUGCAAA
RNAcentral lists this long non-coding RNA (1195 nucleotides) under Nicotiana tabacum (common tobacco). Its description in RNAcentral is "long non-coding RNA (NTAB_LNC013959)". The record is from RNAcentral. Lineage: Eukaryota; Viridiplantae; Streptophyta; Magnoliopsida; Solanales; Solanaceae.